Molecule: non-coding RNA, 775 nt
Organism: Gasterosteus aculeatus aculeatus (three-spined stickleback)
Lineage: Eukaryota; Metazoa; Chordata; Actinopteri; Perciformes; Gasterosteidae
Source: RefSeq, a predicted model, not a curated record
GAGGAGUUUGUUUUUGAACAUCGGACGCCAAUUGGCUCCGUGUGUGAGAAAACGCUGGUUUAAACAGAGGGGGCGGGAGCGAGGUCAGUUUGAAUCAGCAGCUCGACCCGAUAACGCACCAACGCACGCAUCGAAGCGACCAUGGCCUCCCAGAACAUGGACCCCGCGGCGGCAGCAGCCUCGUCCACAGCCGCUCUCAAGGGCAGCGAGAGCGGCGGCAGCGCGGCCAGAAGCUCGGUGUCCAAACGGCUGCAGCAGGAACUCAUGACUCUGAUGAUGUCAGGUGAUAAAGGGGAUCUCUGCUUUUCCGGAGUCUGACAAUCUCUUCAAGUGGAUCGGGACCAUUGACGGCGCUCAGGGGACGGUGUAUGAAGGCCUCAGGUACCGAUUGUCGUUGGAGUUUCCCGCUGGUUACCCAUAUCAGGCGCCUCGUGUCAAGUUCGUCACUUCCUGUUUUCACCCUAACGUGGACGAACAGGGUUUCAUCUGUCUCGACAUCCUGAAGGACAAAUGGUCGGCGCUCUACGACGUGCGCUCCAUCCUUCUGUCCAUCCAGAGUCUGCUGGGAGAACCAAACAACGAGAGUCCGUUAAACACGACUGCUGCUGAAAUGUGGGACAACCAAGAAGCCUUUAAAACCCAUCUACAGUCAACCUUCCAGAUUUGAUGCAAUCCACGUUUUAUUCUUCCCGUUCUGUCUAUUUGCCUUGUGUGUUUUGUAAAAUAUUUUUAUGUUUGUCCAUCUCGCCGUAUAUCAAUAAAGUUCUUAAAACAA